UUCCAUGGAUGAAAAUUCGAUUUGCUACAAUCACUAGCAUGCAUGAGUCAUCAAUUAUUACUCGUAUGUAACCGUAGAGAACGCUGAUCUUCCACGAUCGAAAAGUGACUCAUCCUUUAGUUCGGAAGAUCAGUCUUUAAAUUUAGUGACCGAUCACCUUGCGCGUUGAAACAGACUGCCUUGAAAGUAUGUCGCAGAAAAAAAUACGAAGACGAUACGUUUGCAGAAAAUCUGGCAAAAAUUCAAACUGCGUUUCCACUGUAAAUAGUGCUCAAACGAGGGUGAAACUCACGAACGUUCGUGAAGAAUAUGAUUCUUAGAUUUCGUGAGAAUGACUCACUUACAUUAUGCGAAAUUAUUGUGCUUUCAAGUAGAUAUAUAUUUUUACAUAUACAUAUUUAAAUGGAAGAAUCUCUAUCGGAAUUUACUUCUUCUUAAUAUAAACCAGAAGAAACAGAAAUUUAUAACGAAAGGACCUGCGCCAGAAAUAAAAGAAUUAUCGUCGUAAUGAAAACGUUGAAUCGACGUUGGUUUAAGAACGUUUCAUCAACGCUAUAAAAAUUCUCAUACUUGAUCUAUCGUUUAACCGUAUCUAAUUCCUCGAUCAUGGAGUUUCUUCCACGAACUUCCCUACCGUGACUUUUUCUCAUCAAGAAGACGGAUUACGAAUCGCUAUUUUCCUCGGCAUUACACAGAGGCAGUUCUUGGAGGCUCCACCAGAUGUGAUUUCAAAAUACCUUACAACUUCGAUGAUUGCAAUGGCUAAGAAAAUUCUCAGGUUUCAAAAAUUCGCUUUUCGUUAAAUUUUGUCCUAAAGAAACGGGAAAUUAAAUUAUUACAAAGAUACACGUAACUGAUUAUAAAUUGGUUCCAGUUAUCUCGAGUCGUUAUCAGAGUACUAAUCUUCGACGGCGAUGACUAACAAUGAGCUAGACGUACGUCGCGGUUGUCGGAAGAACAUUGACUCAGCGUCGAGACACGUACGUUGCGAGCCAUUCGAAAUUCCACGAAUAUUCCUCGCCGCGUCGUAAAAGCCGCCAAACACGCUCAAUAUUUUUCACCUUACCCUCUCGCCCCCUGACACUCGUGCAUCUUUACCGCCACGUGAUCGCGGACUUUCCCUCUCCAUCAUCGGUUACGGGUUUAGAAUAACCCAAAGCUCCGCGGUUCGGACCAUUCGUGAGUUCGAUCUCGAGUUGUUCGCGUCUCCUUUCUUCACGGAAACUUCCUUUGGGAACCGACUGGCUAAGAGAAACCGACGCGCAACUUUCAUUGAGUAAUGGAGGUCGCUAAAGUGAACGAAAACGCUGGUAGCCUCGUCGAGCAAUCGAUGAACAUCACGGCGGAAUCAAAAUCCGUCUCCACCAUGAAAUCCUUGGAGAGCGUACAGACCAAGUCCGUCAUCGAAUCGUCGACAUCCAUCAAGUCCGUGACCUCGUCGUCGACGAGGGCGCAGCAGUCCAUGGAGUACGAGGAGACGAUCGAGUACAGCGACUAGAUCCAUUAUCGUCACAUCAAAUCACAAUUAAAAAACAACAAACGGAUACCCUUUUGACGUCGUGCCACGCAGGGGAGAGUUGACGCGCGGUAUUUUUGACUCGACUCCAUCAUCGAUCCACGUAUGAUAUUAGUGUGUUCUCCCGAUCUAUUCCAACAUUUCCAUGUGAAAAAUUCGAGAAUGAAAUAGCCGAUGGAAGACACUCGAGAAGCUAGUCGCGUUCUUGUCGACUGCGUCACGCCAGCAUGGUUCUAUCGAAACGAGAUUCAAAGGAAAUACGGUUAGUGCCAGGCAGAGAGUCUUUUCUCGCGUCUCGUAUGUUGAUCUUGGAUCGAGUCAGGAAGAACGUGCGACCCAGCUACGAAAGCGGCAGGGAACAGAAGGAAGAACACCAGUCGAGUCGAAUAGCUGAUCGACGAGUCAAAGCGUUCACGGCCUUUCGAAGUGGCUUUCAAAAAUAACCACUCUCUUUUGCACCGCAUACCUGAUAAUGAAAAUAAGAAAAAUAAGAAAAUGAAGGAACGUUUGGAAGCCUCGACCAUGAGCUCUGGCUCUCCUCCAAUCGGCGCGGUCCCCCGCCAAAUAGCGAUUCGCCCUUUCCUUUUCUUCCUCUAAGGAUCGUCCCUGAUCGUAUCACCGAUCCUCCUUUAAAUACGCAAGCCUCUCCAUCAUUGUCACGACUUGAUCCCACAUUUCGUUGCAAACAUUUGAUUAUCUUUGUAUAAUAAAGUUUCUAAGAUACUGUU
Bombus terrestris (buff-tailed bumblebee) is the source of this 2244-nucleotide long non-coding RNA. RefSeq lists it as uncharacterized. The transcript has 2 exons. The record is from RefSeq and is a predicted model, not a curated record. Lineage: Eukaryota; Metazoa; Arthropoda; Insecta; Hymenoptera; Apidae.